This 2513-nucleotide long non-coding RNA is filed under the name Venturia canescens. RNAcentral describes it as "uncharacterized LOC122410774". The record is from RNAcentral. Lineage: Eukaryota; Metazoa; Arthropoda; Insecta; Hymenoptera; Ichneumonidae.
AUACACACCUCGGGCAGGAAAAAGUAAAGCCUCAGACCACAUGUUUGUCAGGGCCUCGGCUUCGCCUCGGCCGACAAUUACAUGUGAUCUGAGACUUUCCUUAUUUUCCUGCCCUAGGUGUGUAAUAUACUAUUUUUAAUCCUAUUCGUUUACGUGCGGAAGGUAUAAAAAUCGGCUGUAGGUUCUGCGACCAGUGUCAAUUAUUAUGUGAAAAUAUUAGCAAUGCUUGCCUUGAAGAGCCUGUUAUAGAAAACAAAAGGGAUAAAACCGAACUUUUGUUGUUGCGAGGCUUCGAAAAACUUACGAAGAUUGAAGAAUCGUUUGAAAAAUUUGUCAUUUUAAAUGGGUCGUAAAUAUAAAAAAAAAAAAGCUCGCCAGAUAUAUCGGUUAAUACGGAGAAUAAAAAUUUGGCAUAUCAAAGUAUGUAGACGAUUCGUACACAUUAGCGUUCAAUAAAGCAGGCGUAGACGAAAGUUUGUGGCUUAGGAACUUGCAAUUUGCUAUGCCAAUAAAGAGUUCCGAAUGGAAAGUGGAAAAAAAAUAAAGUUACAGGUUAAAUAAUGCAAUUAUUAGGUUAGAGACCGUCCAUGCGAGGGCGUAAAAAAUCGUAACUCUCUCAUUAAACAUUGUUGUCGUUCGAUCUAAACGGAAUUUCCACAUAAACUGUGUAAUCGAAAAGUUCUACAUUUCAUCUGAUUACCGAUCAUUGUUUUCAUUGUUAGAUUUCCGAGGGUCGCGUGCAUAAAGAUAAAUUGGAGAUGAAAUUUGAACACUAAAUAAAAAAAGAAAAGAGAAGAGCACGAGGAAAUAAAAAAAAUGUAAAAAGAAACAAUUCGAAAUUGCUCUUUUGACGAAAAAAAUCGUAAGGAUUGAAUCCUUUUGAGGACACGAUGUUAAUAUUAUUUUAAUUGCUAGUUAACGUACACGUAUAAGACAAUAAUGUCGUUUGAAGGUUAUGUACGAGAGUAUACGACGACGCGAGAGGAAUAAAAAGAAAGAGGACAAUAAUACAUUUUAUCUUCGACAAUAACGAGAGGCCUCUAUGAAAUACGGAGUAAAAAUAAAAUCAAUGUAGAAGGCGAUCAGCGUCGACGAGCGCGAGUGUGUUAAAAAGAAAAGUUUGUGGAUUCUUCUAUUUUGUAUGAUAUAAUAUGUGCAAAAAAAAUGAAACCUGUGUGUAUUGUUUUAUCGAUUUCCAACACGAGCAGGUUCCCAAUCGAAUCCAAUUAACCGCAGUGCGAUCAAAAAUAUAAAUCUAACUGAUAUCACGUUUGUUACGUAUAUUGAGAAUGAAGCAACACCGCGAUAGGAAUGAAAGAAAAAUAUUAAAAGAGAAAAGAUUAUCAAAAAAUACGAGAUUAUUUUUUUCUCAGGAAAAAUCAAACAAAAACACAACGGUGCUAACGCAGAUAUAGUAAAUGACGUUUAUUCAAUUUGCAGGACAGAGAAAAAGAGAAAAGAUCAAAUGAUAAAUGAAAGAUAAUAAACUCUUGUCAACGAAACCUUAGAUAACACUUAUGACAAUAAAUAUAAAAAUAUUCUGUUUUGCUUAUGGCAGUCGAUAGUAAUUCCUCAAGCUAUUUGAUCGAUCGGCGAGACAACUUGUAUAUAGAUGUAAGUUUUAUGCGCACAGAUUAUACUAAUACAUGAAUUAAUAAGUGUUUGCCUCCAUUCAUAUGUUGAAUUGAGUGGUUUUAAUCGUGCAAUAUCGAUUAAUUGGCCUUUGAUGGUAUAUCCUGUGAGUUGUUAAUUUAUGAAGAGUGAACAAAAGAUGAAAAAAAAAAACAUUUCGAAAAAGUUGAAUAUCUGACAUAGCAAUCCCAAAAAUGCAGCGUCUCAAUGGAAUAUUCAUUUUACAGUAGAUUUUAAUAUUUAUUCUUCUUCACAAAUAAUAAGUAAGCAAUUGAGAUCUAUCAAUAAUGACCGAUAAUCAAUUUACAUAUGGAUUUAUUUGAAUGAGGUGAAAGAAAAAAAAGAUUCUUACGUCAUAUCAAAGCAAACAACCAAAAGUGCAAAAAAUAACAUUUCACUGAUUGUUGCAUAUCAUAGCACUGAUAUCAUGAUUGUUGCAUAUCGGGUGUGCAGCCCCAUAUCCAAUUCGUUUCUUCUAAUCAAUCUUCUGUUUUAUAUAUAUAGUUAUUCGUAUCUCGACUGCGUCCAUCCACUCUAACUGUUAAGACAAUAAAUAGAUACGAUAGACUUGUUCUAGCAGCUGGAUAUUCAAGGUCGUGGUUGUUAACAAGAUAAACCAUUUUGAAUGGCUCAAAAAAAAAGAAAAAUGAUUGAGAAAAUAGAUAUGAAACAGUUGCUGGACGAGGAGAAACGAUUAAUGAGACACCUUAUACAGAUCAUUCUCGUACAUCGUACUAUAUAAAUAAUUAUACAUAUUAAAAAAUGUACUAUAAAUAUUGAAAACAAAUAUAUACAAUUAUACCACGUUAAGCGGAUAAACUGUACAUAUAUAUUGUUGUCAGUUGAAUGUUGAAAUAAAUACAGUGCGUAAAAAACUUCUA